This 463-nucleotide ribosomal RNA is filed under the name uncultured bacterium. RNAcentral's name for it is "partial 16S ribosomal RNA". It matches the Rfam family "Bacterial small subunit ribosomal RNA", at positions 339 to 795 of the family's 1533-position model. The record is from RNAcentral.
CUACGGGGGGCAGCAGUGGGGAAUAUUGCACAAUGGGCGCAAGCCUGAUGCAGCCAUGCCGCGUGUAUGAAGAAGGCCUUCGGGUUGUAAAGUACUUUCAGCGGGGAGGAAGGGAGUAAAGUUAAUACCUUUGCUCAUUGACGUUACCCGCAGAAGAAGCACCGGCUAACUCCGUGCCAGCAGCCGCGGUAAUACGGAGGUGCAAGCGUUAAUCGGAAUUACUGGGCGUAAAGCGCACGCAGGCGGUUUGUUAAGUCAGAUGUGAAAUCCCCGGGCUCAACCUGGGAACUGCAUCUGAUACUGGCAAGCUUGAGUCUCGUAGAGGGGGGUAGAAUUCCAGGUGUAGCGGUGAAAUGCGUAGAGACCUGGAGGAAUACAGGUGGCGAAGGCGGCCCCCUGGACGAAGACUGACGCUCAGGUGCGAAAGCGUGGGGAGCAAACAGGAUUAGAUACCCUCGUAGUC